CGCCUUAGUAGAUGAAGAAAAACACCAAGAAUCACCAACAUGAGAAAAACUCACAGAUACCAGAGGGUCCUGGCUGGGGACACAACCCAGUUCUCAUUCCAGCAGAUGUGGCUACUGCAACAUGGAGCCAACCCUGCCCUGCAGCCAGGAUCAGUAAACCUCUCUAAAAGGCCAGCAAGAAAGGGCCUGCAGUGUAUGAGGGGCUGCAGAGAUGGCUCAGCAGCUAGGAGUACCACUGCUCUCAAAGAGGACCAGCUCCCAGACCUACAUCAGGCAGCUGCCAAACACCUGUGAACUCCAGCUCCAAGAGAUACCGCACAGGGGGCAUAUUCACAUACAGGUACACAUACUACACAUGAUUAAAAUUUUUUAAUUAAAUA
RNAcentral lists this long non-coding RNA (380 nucleotides) under Mus spicilegus (steppe mouse). Its description in RNAcentral is "lncRNA (ENSMSIG00000021900.1)". The record is from RNAcentral. Lineage: Eukaryota; Metazoa; Chordata; Mammalia; Rodentia; Muridae.